AAAACACAAAAAUUAAGGAGGUGUAUUGAGAUGUAUGUAAUUUUGUGAGGUACACCGGAUUAGCCGCAUAGUAAUGACACGCAUAUCAAUAUGAGUGUGUGUGUGUGUGGGAGUACGUGCGUGCGCAGCGACUCGUAGGACAAAAGAAUGCAACUGUUCCUUACGCAUGGUGGUAAAAAGAUAGUGAGACAAAAGAAUCGCUGAGACAGGUGCAAUGGAUAUCUACGAAUAUCUUGUAAAUCAUAUAUUAAAUAAAUCUGGAACUAUUUUAAUAUUAUUUCUGUGCGUGAUAAGAAUCUUAAAACUGCCUCUUAACAGGAAUUCAAAGAAUAAAACGAACAAUAAAGAAGUGUUCUCUAUCAACAUUUCUAGAGAUGUUACUAAAGCGAGGGAAAUUAAAUUAAAUGGAAAGAACAGAGAGUUAAUUAAUCUUGACAACAAGGAUCUACUUGUUACUCCAUGAACGAUAUUUGAGGAAAAUAAGGAACAUAUAG
RNAcentral lists this unclassified non-coding RNA (494 nucleotides) under Bombus terrestris (buff-tailed bumblebee). RNAcentral describes it as "misc RNA ENSBTSG00005027104.1". The record is from RNAcentral. Lineage: Eukaryota; Metazoa; Arthropoda; Insecta; Hymenoptera; Apidae.